CGUCCACCGUCUCCCCAUCCCCCAGUCCCUCCUGCGGUGUGCCUCAGAUCUUGGAGGCGACCCACCGACGCGAUGCGUCCUCCCCGGAGAAGUCGUCGGCGGUGCCAACUUGUAGCCAUCGCUCACCUGUGUGGAAGGUGGUAGGAUUCCCGAUCUGAAGUUGGGAAGCCAAACUUGACGAUUUUUUCUGUUGUCUUCCACAUCAGUCAGCGGCCAUGCUGCUCUAGAGGAUUUGCUACUCAAGUUUCGCCCAUGGAAAAUCAAUUUGCUGGAGCGCUUACAUCGACCCCCCUUUAUAUUAGGAAGAGGAGGAGGCGGCUUUCAUGCCUUCCUCGAUGCAUCUCCCCGAAUUUCUUCCUUCUCCAGGGCUGAGACCUCGCCGAUGAGCAGUUUCUUUCAAACAUCAAGAUUACCAAGCACAAUGCAAGUCAGUAUACAAAAUAAUUAUGUUUCAACUCAUGUACGCCUAAGGUGUUGGCUGCAUGUUGUCAUGAAAAUAGUAGCUACACGGAUCAUCAGAUUAAGGAGUAGGAAAUAGUAAUACAGAAGUGUCCUACUUCUACUACCCACGAAGGCGAGACGUCGGUGCGGUGUCAUGCCCCAUCCCCUUGACGGCCCUGCGCACCGCCGAGAUGGAGUUCGACUAAG
Triticum aestivum (bread wheat) is the source of this 648-nucleotide long non-coding RNA. RefSeq lists it as uncharacterized. The transcript is spliced from 3 exons. Lineage: Eukaryota; Viridiplantae; Streptophyta; Magnoliopsida; Poales; Poaceae. The record is from RefSeq and is a predicted model, not a curated record.